CCUACGGGAGGCAGCAGUGGGGAAUAUUGCACAAUGGGGGGAACCUUGAUGCAGCAACGCCGCGUGGGUGAAGAAGUACUCCGGUAUGUAAAGCCCUGUUAGCAGGGAAGAAAAUGACGGUACCUGACCAAGAAGCCCCGGCUAACUACGUGCCAGCAGCCGCGGUAAUACGUAGGGGGCAAGCGUUAUCCGGAUUUACUGGGUGUAAAGGGAGCGUAGGCGGCAAGGCAAGUCUGGAGUGAAAGCCCGUGGCUCAACCACGGGACUGCUUUGGAAACUGUGUUGCUGGAGUGCAGGAGGGGUAGGCGGAAUGCCUGGUGUAGCGGUGAAAUGCGUAGAUAUUAGGAGGAACACCGGUGGCGAAGGCGGCUUACUGGACUGUAACUGACGUUGAGGCUCGAAGGCGUGGGGAGCAAACAGGAUUAGAUACCCGAGUAGUC
RNAcentral lists this ribosomal RNA (440 nucleotides) under uncultured bacterium. RNAcentral's name for it is "partial 16S ribosomal RNA". It matches the Rfam family "Bacterial small subunit ribosomal RNA", at positions 338 to 795 of the family's 1533-position model. The record is from RNAcentral.